This 118-nucleotide ribosomal RNA is filed under the name Pteropus alecto (black flying fox). Lineage: Eukaryota; Metazoa; Chordata; Mammalia; Chiroptera; Pteropodidae. The record is from RNAcentral.
AUCUACGCCAUGCUACCCUGAACAAGCCCAAUUCCGUCUAAUCUCAGAAGCUAAGGAGGGUGCGGCCUGGUUAGUACUUGGAUGGGAGACCACCUAGGACAGCCAGGUGCUGUAGGUG